GACGAACGCUGGCGGCGUGCUUAACACAUGCAAGUCGAACGGGCCUGUCUUCUUUUUUGGGGGGUGGGUUGAGUGGCGAACGGGUGAGUAUCACGUGAGUAACCUGCCCUUCGGUCCUGGAUAACCGCUUGAAAGGGCGGCUAAUACGGGGUGGUCCGGUUGGUCCGCAUGGGCUGGUCGGGAUAGAUUCACUGUUUUUGGUGUUUCGGCGGGGGAUGGGCUCGCGGCCUAUCAGCUUGUUGGUGGGGUGAUGGCCUACCAAGGCGGUGACGGGUAGCCGGCCUGAGAGGGUGGGCGGCCACACUGGGACUGGGAUACGGCCCAGAGUCCUGCGGGAGGCAGCAGUGGGGGGUAUUGCACAAUGGGCGGAAGCCUGAUGCAGCGACGUCGCGUGAGGGAUGGAGGCCUUCGGGUUGUGAACCUCUGUUUCCGGUGGUGAAGGCCCUGUCCGUGUGGUGGGGUUGACGGUAGCCGGGGAUGAAGCGCCGGCUAACUACGUG
RNAcentral lists this ribosomal RNA (500 nucleotides) under uncultured bacterium. RNAcentral's name for it is "partial 16S ribosomal RNA". It matches the Rfam family "Bacterial small subunit ribosomal RNA", at positions 28 to 507 of the family's 1533-position model. The record is from RNAcentral.